GGGCCCGCACAAGCGGUGGAGCAUGUGGUUUAAUUCGACGCAACGCGCAAAACCUUACCUGGGCUAGAAAUGACAGGAACCUGGUUGAAAGAUCGGGGUGCCCUUCGGGGAAUCUGUUGUUAGGUGCUGCAUGGCUGUCGUCAGCUCGUGUCGUGAGAUGUUGGGUUAAGUCCCGCAACGAGCGCAACCCUUGCCGUUAGUUGCCAUCAUUAAGUUGGGCACUCUAACGGGACUGCCGACCUUCAAGUCGGAGGAAGGUGGGGAUGACGUCAAGUCCUCAUGGCCCUUACGUCCAGGGCUACACACGUGCUACAAUGGCCGGUACAAUGGGUUGCGAACCCGCGAGGGGGAGCUAAUCUCAAAAAACCGGCCUCAGUACAGAUAAGAGUCUGCAACUCGACUCUUUGAAGUCGGAAUCGCUAGUAAUCGCUGAUCAGCAUGGCAGCGGUGAAUACGUUCCCGGGCCUU
RNAcentral lists this ribosomal RNA (468 nucleotides) under uncultured bacterium. RNAcentral's name for it is "bacterial SSU rRNA". It matches the Rfam family "Bacterial small subunit ribosomal RNA", at positions 917 to 1382 of the family's 1533-position model. The record is from RNAcentral.